CAACGAGCGCAACCCUUGUCUUUAGUUGCCAUCAUUAAGUUGGGCACUCUAGAGAGACUGCCAGGGAUAACCUGGAGGAAGGUGGGGAUGACGUCAAAUCAUCAUGCCCCUUAUGCUUAGGGCUACACACGUGCUACAAUGGGUAGUACAGAGGGUUGCCAAGCCGUAAGGUGGAGCUAAUCCCUUAAAGCUACUCUCAGUUCGGAUUGUAGGCUGAAACUCGCCUACAUGAAGCUGGAGUUACUAGUAAUCGCAGAUCAGAAUGCUGCGGUGAAUGCGUUCCCGGGUCUUGUACACACCGCCCGUCACACCACGGGAGUUGGAGACGCCCGAAGCCGAUUAUCUAACCUUUUGGAAGAAGUCGUCGAAGGUGGAAUCAAUAACUGGGGUGAAGUCGUAACAAGGUAGCCGUAUCGGAAGGUGCGGCUGGAUCACCUCCUUUCUAAGGA
RNAcentral lists this ribosomal RNA (449 nucleotides) under Clostridioides difficile. RNAcentral describes it as "bacterial SSU rRNA". It matches the Rfam family "Bacterial small subunit ribosomal RNA", at positions 1090 to 1533 of the family's 1533-position model. Lineage: Bacteria; Bacillati; Bacillota; Clostridia; Peptostreptococcales; Peptostreptococcaceae. The record is from RNAcentral.